AACGAACGCUGGCGGCAUGCCUAACACAUGCAAGUCGAACGAGACCUUCGGGUCUAGUGGCGCACGGGUGCGUAACACGUGGGAAUCUGCCCUUCGGUUCGGAAUAACAGAGAGAAAUUUCUGCUAAUACCGGAUGAUGACGUAAGUCCAAAGAUUUAUCGCCGAAGGAUGGGCCCGCGUAGGAUUAGGUAGUUGGUGGGGUAAUGGCCCACCAAGCCGACGAUCCUUAGCUGGUCUGAGAGGAUGAUCAGCCACACUGGGACUGAGACACGGCCCAGACUCCUACGGGAGGCAGCAGUGGGGAGUAUUGGACAAUGGGCGAAAGCCUGAUCCAGCAACGCCGCGUGAGUGAUGAAGGCCUUAGGGUUGUAAAGCUCUUUUACCAGGGAUGAUAAUGACAGUACCUGGAGAAUAAGCUCCGGCUAACUCCGUGCCAGCCGCCGCAGUAA
Molecule: ribosomal RNA, 449 nt
Filed under: uncultured bacterium
Lineage: Bacteria
Description: partial 16S ribosomal RNA
Rfam family: Bacterial small subunit ribosomal RNA
Source: RNAcentral